GCUGUAUUGCGACCGCUUGUCAUCAGAUUAGAUCGCAUGGUCAGCAGUCCCAAAUUAUGGGUGGUAACCAUGCUAAACACAAUCUUUUUUGACUAAGCAAUUCAAUAUACAAGACUAACAGCCACAUUUACUCUCCAAAAAUGGAAAAUCUGAAUAAUCUUUAUGAUCAAGCUGCAGUUAGCCUAACAACCGAUUCUGAAAUGGAUGCUGUUAUGGGUGUAUAUAGAAAAACAUCAAUCAAGAUUCUGAUUAUGCACUUAAAGCUGAGACCGAUAUC
This is a long non-coding RNA of Bufo gargarizans (Asiatic toad), 277 nucleotides long. RefSeq lists it as uncharacterized. The transcript is spliced from 3 exons. NCBI's taxonomy places the organism in Eukaryota, Metazoa, Chordata, Amphibia, Anura, Bufonidae. The record is from RefSeq and is a predicted model, not a curated record.